This 65-nucleotide transfer RNA is filed under the name Acilius sulcatus. RNAcentral's name for it is "tRNA-His". The record is from RNAcentral. Lineage: Eukaryota; Metazoa; Arthropoda; Insecta; Coleoptera; Dytiscidae.
AUUUAAGUAAUUUAAUUAAAAAUUUUGAUUUGUGGUGUCAAAUAUGUAAAAUAUUACCUUAAAUU